RNAcentral lists this unclassified non-coding RNA (280 nucleotides) under air metagenome. RNAcentral's name for it is "partial contains small subunit ribosomal RNA, internal transcribed spacer 1, and 5.8S ribosomal RNA". The stretch from base 1 to 46 matches the Rfam family "Eukaryotic small subunit ribosomal RNA", at positions 1786 to 1831 of the family's 1831-position model. The record is from RNAcentral.
AAGUCGUAACAAGGUUUCCGUAGGUGAACCUGCGGAAGGAUCAUUAUCUAUUCCAUGAGGUGUGGUCGCGGCCCCCGGGGGGGGCUAAACUCCCCCAGGGCGGUAGAGGUAACACUUUCACGCGCCACAUGUCUGAAUCCUUUUUUUACGAGCACCUUUCGUUCUCCUUCGGUGGGGCAACCUGCCGCUGGAACUUAACAAUAACCUUUUUUGCAUCUAGCAUUACCUGUUCUGAUACAAACAAUCGUUACAACUUUCAACAAUGGAUCUCUUGGCUCUG